Molecule: ribosomal RNA, 490 nt
Filed under: uncultured bacterium
Lineage: Bacteria
Description: partial 16S ribosomal RNA
Rfam family: Bacterial small subunit ribosomal RNA
Source: RNAcentral
AUUGAACGCUGGCGGCAGGCCUAACACAUGCAAGUCGAACGGUAACAGGAAGAAGCUUGCUUCUUUGCUGACGAGUGGCGGGCGGGUGAGUAAUGUCUGGGAAACUGCCUGAUGGAGGGGGAUAACUACUGGAAACGGUAGCUAAUACCGCAUAAUGUCGCAAGACCAAAGAGGGGGACCUUCGGGCCUCUUGCCAUCGGAUGUGCCCAGAUGGGAUUAGCUAGUAGGUGGGGUAACGGCUCACCUAGGCGACGAUCCCUAGCUGGUCUGAGAGGAUGACCAGCCACACUGGAACUGAGACACGGUCCAGACUCCUACGGGAGGCAGCAGUGGGGAAUAUUGCACAAUGGGCGCAAGCCUGAUGCAGCUAUGCCGCGUGUAUGAAGAAGGCCUUCGGGUUGUAAAGUACUUUCAGCGGGGAGGAAGGGAGUAAAGUUAAUACCUUUGCUCAUUGACGUUACCCGCAGAAGAAGCACCGGCUAACUCCGUG